Molecule: ribosomal RNA, 443 nt
Filed under: uncultured bacterium
Lineage: Bacteria
Description: partial 16S ribosomal RNA
Rfam family: Bacterial small subunit ribosomal RNA
Source: RNAcentral
CCUACGGGGGGCUGCAGUGGGGGAUAUUGGACAAUGGGGGGAACCCUGAUCCAGCAACGCCGCGUGAAGGAAGAAGGCUUUCGGGUUGUAAACUUCUUUUCUCAGGGACGAAGCAAGCGACGGUACCUGAGGAAUAAGCCACGGCUAACUACGUGCCAGCAGCCGCGGUAAUACGUAGGUGGCAAGCGUUAUCCGGAUUUACUGGGUGUAAAGGGCUUGUAGGCGGGACUGCAAGUCAGAUGUGAAAACCACGGGCUCAACCCGUGGCCUGCAUUUGAAACUGUAGUUCUGGAGUACUGGAGAGGCAGACGGAAUUCCUAGUGUAGCGGUGAAAUGCGUAGAUAUUAGGAGGAACACCAGUGGCGAAGGCGGUCUGCUGGACAGCAACUGACGCUGAGGCGCGAAAGCGUGGGGAGCAAACAGGAUUAGAUACCCUGGUAGUC